Long non-coding RNA from Mytilus trossulus (common blue mussel), 495 nucleotides. RefSeq lists it as uncharacterized. The record is from RefSeq and is a predicted model, not a curated record. The transcript has 4 exons. NCBI's taxonomy places the organism in Eukaryota, Metazoa, Mollusca, Bivalvia, Mytilida, Mytilidae.
ACAGAGUUAAAACCACGAGAUGUACACCCUGUCAGUUGUUGAUCUUGGUAUUAGUCUUUUGUUUCUAAGUAUCGUCACGCAAAAAUCUGAAGCGCAGAAUUGUUCUGACACAAACGUUCAGUCCUGUCUCCCAGCUUACGAGAGCGUGAAAACACAGGCAGCACAAGACAAGAACAAAAUAUGCAGUUUCCAAACCAUUCAGCCUUGCUCGUAAAAGUAAAAAGAAGAAGAAGAAGAAGAAGGAUGGGGAUGAUGACGACGACGAUGGUAACAAUUUUAGUGGUGCAGGAGGUAUUCACCUCAACCUGGCUGUCUUUGGUUUAGGACUUACAUUUUAUGCGCUUGUUUAGAUACCGUAUUUUUAUACAUCAAUUUGAAUAAACUACAUAUAUAUGUAUUUGUUUACAAAACUGUUUAGGAUUAUUGCUCUCAUUCUAAUUUACUUUGCAAAUUUGAACUGAUUGAUUAAAAUACGAACAAAUGAGAAAAAUCUGU